This 441-nucleotide ribosomal RNA is filed under the name uncultured Porphyromonadaceae bacterium. RNAcentral describes it as "bacterial SSU rRNA". It matches the Rfam family "Bacterial small subunit ribosomal RNA", at positions 355 to 794 of the family's 1533-position model. Lineage: Bacteria; Pseudomonadati; Bacteroidota; Bacteroidia; Bacteroidales; Porphyromonadaceae. The record is from RNAcentral.
UGAGGAAUAUUGGUCAAUGGGCGAGAGCCUGAACCAGCCAAGUCGCGUGAGGGAAGACGGUCCUAAGGAUUGUAAACCUCUUUUGUCGGGGAACAACGAGUUGCACGCGUGCGACAGUGAGGGUACCCGAAGAAAAAGCAUCGGCUAACUCCGUGCCAGCAGCCGCGGUAAUACGGAGGAUGCGAGCGUUAUCCGGAUUUAUUGGGUUUAAAGGGUGCGCAGGCGGCGUGCCAAGUCAGCGGUCAAAGUUCCGGGCUCAACCCGGUGAUGCCGUUGAAACUGGUGUGCUUGAGUGCGUGCGAGGGAGGCGGAAUGCGUUGUGUAGCGGUGAAAUGCAUAGAUAUGACGCAGAACUCCGAUUGCGAAGGCAGCUUUCCAGCACGCCACUGACGCUGAGGCACGAAAGCGUGGGUAUCGAACAGGAUUAGAUACCCUGGUAGU